This 253-nucleotide ribosomal RNA is filed under the name uncultured bacterium. RNAcentral describes it as "partial 16S ribosomal RNA". It matches the Rfam family "Bacterial small subunit ribosomal RNA", at positions 524 to 776 of the family's 1533-position model. The record is from RNAcentral.
UACGUAGGGUGCAAGCGUUGUCCGGAUUUAUUGGGCGUAAAGCGCUCGCAGGCGGCUCGAUGCGUCGUGCGUGAAACCCCCCGGCUCAACUGGGGAGGGUCGUGCGAUACGGUCGGGCUGGAGGCCAGUAGGGGGAUGCGGAAUUCCGGGUGUAGUGGUGGAAUGCGUAGAGAUCCGGAGGAACACCAGCGGCGAAGGCGGCAUCCUGGACUGGUCCUGACGCUCAGGAACGGAAGCGUGGGGAGCGAUCCGG